UACGGAGGGUGCAAGUGUUAUUCGGAUUUACUGGGCGUAAAGAGCACGUAGGCGGAUUUGCAAGUCAGAUGUGAAAGCCCGGAGCUUAACUCCGGAACUGCAUUUGAUACUGCUGAUCUUGAGUGUGGUAGAGGGGGGUGGAAUUCCCGGUGUAGAGGUGAAAUUCGUAGAUAUCGGGAGGAACACCAGAGGCGAAGGCGACCCCCUGGGCCAUAACUGACGCUGAGGUGCGAAAGCGUGGGGAG
Molecule: ribosomal RNA, 245 nt
Filed under: uncultured bacterium
Lineage: Bacteria
Description: partial 16S ribosomal RNA
Rfam family: Bacterial small subunit ribosomal RNA
Source: RNAcentral